GGGGGAUUUGGGAAUGGGGGCGGGGGUUUAUGAAUGGGGGCGGGGAAUGAGGGGGGAUUUGUCAAUGGGGGCGGGGAUUUGGGGGUGGGGGGGGUGUGAAUGGGGGGGCAAUGGGGGGGGAUUUGUGAAUGGGGGCAGAGAUUUGGGGAUGGGGGGGGAAUGGGAGGGGGGUGAAUGAGGGGGGAUUUGUGAAUGGGGGGGUGUGAAUGGGGGGGUGUGAAUGGGGGCAGGGAUUUGUGAAUGGAGGGGGAGUGAGAAUGGGGGGGGAAUGGGAAGGAGGUGAAUGGGGGGGGAAUGUGAAUGGGGGGGAGAGAGGGAGGGAAUGUGAAUGGGGGGGAGGGAAUUGUGAAUGGGAGGGAGGGGGAGGGGGGAAUUGUGGGUGGGGGGGAGGAAGGGGGGGGUGGAAUUGUGAAUGGGGGUGGUGGGAGAGGGAGGAAUCGUGAAUGGAAUGUGAGCGGGGAAGGAAAAAGUGAAUGGAGGGAGACGGGAACAGAAAGCAGUUCUGAAUGGAAUGGAAUGGAAUGGAAUGGGGUGGGGUGGGGGUGGGGAGGGGUGGGGGUCCUGGCAGCUCACAGAGGUGGGAGGGGGGGGUUGGAAAAGUCCUGGCAGCUCACAAAGGAAUGGGGGUGUUGGGAAGGAAAGGUCCUGAAAGGUCACAGAGCCACGGGGUGGGUGGGUGGGGUGGGAAAGGUCCUGGCUGGGCACAGAGCUAUGGGGUGGUUGGGUUGGGAUGGAAAGGUCCUGACAGGUCACAAAGGCAUUGGACUGUUGGGUUGGAAAGGUCCUGACAGAUCACAGAGAUGUGGAAUGAAUGGGUUGGGAUGGAAAGGUCCUAACAGAUCACAUAGAUGUGGGAUGAAUGAAUUGGGAUGGAAAGGUCCUUACAGAUCACAGAGCUAUGGGGUGGUUGGGUUGGGAUGGAAAGGUCCUGACAGGUCACAGAGCUAUGGGGUGGUUGGGAUGGGAUGGAAAGGUCCUUACAGAUCACAGAGAUGCGGGAUGAAUGAAUUGGGAUGGAAAGGUCCUUACAGAUCACAGACUAUGGGAUGGUUGGGUUGGAAAGGUCCUGGCUGGUCACAGAGAUGUGGAAUGAAUGGGUUGGGAUGGAAAGGUCCUGACAGAUCACAGAGUUAUGGGAUGGUUGGAUUGGGUUGGAAAGGUCCUUACAGACCACAGAGAUGUGGGAUGGUUGGAUUGGGAAGGUCCUGGCAGGUCACAGAGAUGUGGGAUGAAUGGGUUGGGAUAGAAAGGGUCCUGACAGAUCACAGAGCUAUGGGGUGGUUGGGUUGGAUUAGAAAGGUCCUAACAGAUCACAAAGGCAUUGGACAGUUGGGUUGGGAUGGAAAGGUCCUUACAGAUCACAGAGCCAUUGGAUGGUUGGGUUGGGUUGGAAAGGUCCUAACAGGUCACAGAGAUGUGGGAUGGAUGGGUUGGGAUGGAAAGGUCCUGACAGAUCACAGAGAUG
Molecule: long non-coding RNA, 1465 nt
Filed under: Gallus gallus (chicken)
Lineage: Eukaryota; Metazoa; Chordata; Aves; Galliformes; Phasianidae
Description: lncRNA (ENSGALG00010018563.1)
Source: RNAcentral